AUAGCUGGCUUUUAAUAGAGAUAGGGGUUAGGAAAGGGAAAAAAAAGAGAGAGAGAGAGAGAGAGAAAGCGAACAAUUUAUCACAGAGUUAGCUAAAGUCGCAAAUGAAAGAAAUUCCCUUUAAUCCGCUUUUUAGGCACGUUCUGUAAGAAUAGUGGGUCUUCUUAUUCAUGUCUUGUAUGUUGUUGAAAUGUUGAAUGACAAACGAAGAAUGCUUCUAUUAUUCUCGUUAGACAUAUGCCAGCUUUUUAAAGAGAGGACUUAACAACAGGAGGCCAGAUUCCACAAGUACGUUAUCCGGAUCUUCAACUUUUAAAAAACAGAAAUAUAUAUAAGUUAUUCUAUAGUUUCGCAUUAUAUAUGUGUAAAAAAGAAAAAAAGAAUGAAAACUGCGAACGAUAAUUACUGGCAUGGUUCGAUUGUUACGCUUUUUUCCCCCAAAAAAUCCUGUCGUCUAUCCGAUAAAAUUACCGGUUUUGUACCAACUCAAUCGGUUUCUUUAAAAUUAGAAGUCCUUGGCCCUAAUACAAUAUUCGAAUCGUCUAUUUACGGAAAUUACGCGGAGUUUAAACUGACCGACGGAGCCAUUGCCUGGACGCUUUUUUUAUUUUUUUAGUCUAUAAAAAUCGUUCGAAAAAAAGGGCAGAUUUUCGUCUAUGGAACUAAUUUUCGAAACAAAAGCGUCGGAUACGGAAAACAGUGCCAGACAGGAUGUAUAUACGCACUUCCGAAACGGUGUUAAUGUACUUCCUGUAGACAAAGUUAUUCCCAUACAGGUCCUUAUUGAUUCAAGACGCAUUUAUAAAGGCAUACAGUCUAUCAAAUAUUAGUUUAUUGCGGACCUGAUAAACGUUUAAACACCACCACGUCGUCAUCUUUAAUUAUUACGAUUAUUAUUAUUAUUAAAAAUGGCAUUUUUAAAUCCGCAAUCGAUUAUUAACGAUUCUUGAUUCGAUUCUGAAUCUCUUCUUACAACACACACUUGACACUCGUGUUUCUCGACUAUAGAAUGUUCUGCUCGACAAAUAUGCUAAUUGAAACGAAUACUUAUAAAGCGAAUGUUGAGAAUAUUUAAAGCGUUAUGUAUAAAAAUGGCCUUGAAUAAAAGCAUAAUUUAAUUUACAUUUUGAUUUACCCAGAUCGAUUUUUAUUAUUCAGAAAUGAUUAAGUGCUUCUCCAGCUUGAAUAUUAUUAUUAUUUUUUUUUUCUAAUGUGAUUUAAAUUUUAGAUAGUGCAAAUCUGAUGCAUGAUGGUUAUGUAAUGAAAUAUUAAAAAGUGU
RNAcentral lists this long non-coding RNA (1279 nucleotides) under Androctonus crassicauda. The record is from RNAcentral. Lineage: Eukaryota; Metazoa; Arthropoda; Arachnida; Scorpiones; Buthidae.